UACGGGAGGCAGCAGUGGGGAAUAUUGCACAAUGGGCGCAAGCCUGAUGCAGCCAUGCCGCGUGUAUGAAAAAGGCCUUCGGGUUGUAAAGUACUUUCAGUCGUGAGGAAGGUGUUAAGGUUAAUAACCUUAGCAAUUGACGUUAGCGACAGAAGAAGCACCGGCUAACUCCGUGCCAGCAGCCGCGGUAAUACGGAGGGUGCGAGCGUUAAUCGGAAUUACUGGGCGUAAAGGGCACGCAGGCGGUUAAUUAAGUUGGAUGUGAAAUCCCCGGGCUUAACCUGGGAAUGGCAUUCAAGACUGGUUAGCUAGAGUCUUGUAGAGGGGGUUAGAAUUCCAUGUGUAGCGGUGAAAUGCGUAGAGAUGUGGAGGAAUACCGGUGGCGAAGGCGGCCCCUGGACAAAGACUGACGCUCAUGUGCGAAAGCGUGGGGAGCAAACAGGGAUUAGAUACCCGU
RNAcentral lists this ribosomal RNA (457 nucleotides) under uncultured bacterium. Its description in RNAcentral is "bacterial SSU rRNA". It matches the Rfam family "Bacterial small subunit ribosomal RNA", at positions 340 to 789 of the family's 1533-position model. The record is from RNAcentral.